AGAGGUGGAAGGUGCUCCCAUCCUUUACAAUUAAUCAGUUUGAUGGAUGUCAAAUUGACAAGAGAUAGAUUUGCCAUCCAACAUGGAGAUUUAGCACCUUGGUAUUGUCUGCUGCACAUUUUCUUGAGAUUGAUAUGAGGGCAGAGGUUAUCGAGGAGCUGCUCAUCCGUUUCUGCACUAUUGGAGCGGUCUUCAGACCAUUCCAAUGAUAGUGAUUUGAGAUUUUCUUUCUCAUUCAGCUUGGCCUCCAUAGCUUCUUCCUCAUCACAUUUUCAAGUUUCCUAAUACACAGGCGACGAAGGUCCCUGAGGUUCUUUAGUUCACCAACUUUGUAACCGCUCUCCUCUCGGAUAAUAAAAUUUUGUAAUUUGUGGAUGAAGGGUAGUUUGCUAAUAUAAGGAAUAUUUUCUAUCACAUGAUGGGGAACAUCUAAUAAACGCAAAUUUACCAAGUUGGUCAAGCCAUCAUAUUCAAUACUUUCAUUCACAACUUUCCCUAGUGAAAGAGAUAGGUAGCGGAGGUGUAUCAAGCUACUAAGUGCAUCGGGCAGUUUAUAAGGGUCAAAAUUCACAUCUAAGAUCAAUAAGCGUAACUUUUUAAACCCUUUUAUAACCUCGAGAAAUUCAAGUGCAUGAUUUGCAUUAUGCUCAUUAUCCUCUCUAACAGAAAUGACAAGAGUGCGCACGUUCUUAAGAUUGGAGAUCUCUCUGAUGGAAAGAAGAUUUAUCAUCUCAACAUGUAAGUGUCGAACUGGUUUUGGAAUAAUAUUUCCUGCAACAUCACCUCCUAUUCUUUUGCAUUCCCCUAGAGAAACAGAUUGUGCUAGGUCAUGCAGCAGAUCGUGCAUAAAAUACUCUUUAGUAAUUUUCACCAGAUUAUCACUAGUUUCGCAAGUAAAGAAUGAUUUUCUUGUCAGAAGAUUUAAAUACUCAUUUCCGAUAUCCUCUGGCCUUUGCCUGUCGCAAAUAGAUUGCGGAAUCAGACUUGAACCAAUCCACAUAUUGACCAACUUUUUCCUCUUAAACAUAUAAUCUUGUGGAAAUAAACUACAAUAUCUAAAGCAGAGUUGUAAGUUUGUGGAUAAGUGAUCGUAGCUUAAUCUCAAAAUUGUCAUGAUGCCAUCCUUUCCUAGUUGUAAUUUCAUGAUGUCUUCUUCCAAGAUUUUCUUCCAAUAUUCAUAGUCCAUAUAGGAGUUCAGCAUUCCUCCCAUAACUUUUAUUGCCAAUGGGUAUCCUCCAAGUUUCUUCGCUAUAUGUUGACCAAUUGGUUGCAAGUUUUUAUAAUCAUCAGGAUUCACACCGAGGAAUGCAUGCUUAUUGAAAAGCGACAUAUAGUCGCUCUCCUCCAACUCAUUUAGAUUUAAUGAUUCCCGUUUGCAUUUCAUUACAUUUGCCACCAUAUCCGCAACUGAACCCAUUCGAGUUGUCAACAGGAUCUUGCUUCCUCUCUGUCCGGAUUUCAAAGGAGCAACCAAUUUCUCCCACUCCGUCAUGUUAUCAUCGUUCCAAACAUCAUCUAGUAUGAGCAAAAACCUCUUCGAUGUUAGUUUUUCUUUAAGUUUCUCAUGGAGUGCAUUUAGACGCUUGUCGCCAAAAUUCUCACUACUUACACAUUCUAAAAUUUUUCUUGUUAUCACAGUUACAUCGAAAUCCUGAGAAAUGCAAGCCCACAUAAUCGGGUCGAAGUACACUCGCACUCUUUCAUUACUAUAGACUAGUUGAGCAAGAGUGGUCUUCCCGAGCCCACCCAUACCAACAAUUGUGAAAGCAGAGACAUCAACAUCGGCAUCUCCCGGGUUGAUCAGCCAUUUGACUAUCAGGCCCGUCUCCUUGUCUCGUCCGAGCACCUCACUUUUGAUUACCAAGGAGCUAGUCUCGCGAGCAUUCUUGAUUUCCUCGAGCUUUUGACGCUUAACACUAGGAUUAGAAUUUUUAAGAUAAAUAAAUAAAUUUAUUUAAAAAAAUAUAUUUUGUAAUUAAAAAUAUAUGUGUGGGUACCCGUGGGUACCCGUGGGUUACCCAAAAUGCUCACAACUUAAUGGGUACCCACCCGUUUUACCCAUAAUUUUUUGGGUUGAAAAAGUUGCUACCCAUACCCGCAAAUUUGCGGAUAACCAACGGGCACCCGCGGGUUUGGGUCGAGAUUGCCGGGUCUAAUUGGUACCUUAAUAACAUCUAAUUGAUUUGAGUCUUGAUUUAGGAAAUUGAUUAUAAAAAUUACAUAUGCCUGCAUAAGGGAGGGUGGAGCAACUGCGUGCGCCAAAAUAUUACCUGCACCUGGUGUACAAGCACAUAUCUAUACACCGCAUCUCUGAAAUGGACAAAUGUUUUAGAACUAAGAAAAUUAAAAUCUAACUCACUGAAUGUUAAAGUGAUUUUAGACCAAAAAUGAUCUUUCCCUUCAUAAAGCAUUUGAUGAACUUGUCUUUCAAAAUCUAAUUCUUAUUUUUCUCUCUAAAAUCAGAAGUAUUUAAAACCUGCUAUCUCUAAUCUGAAUCUAAUUUUGAACUCAAAUUUUAAGCUUAAAUUUUAUUUUUAGGUUCAAAUUUUUAAUUUAAAUUUAGAUUUUUAAAUUUUAAAUUUUAAAUUUCAAAUUUAAGUUUUUAAAUCUUAAAUUUCAAGUUAUCAAUUUUUAGUUUUCAAAAUUUGAAUUUAGAUAUUAAUUUUUAGAUUUUAAAUCUCAAAUUUUAAAUUCAAUUUCAUAAUUUUUUUUAAUCUACUCUUUUUAGAUAUUUUAGGUUUAAUAUAUCAGACAAAUGUAUAUCGUUGUGUGGCAUAUAGCGUAUUUAUACACUGGAGGUACAUGCAUUUGUUCUUUCUGCAUAUCUGGUGUUUGGUAACACAUAAACUUAGUUAAAAAUAGUUUAAGAGAUAUUAAAUUAUAGAAAAAAUAAUAAUCCACUUGUUAGUAUUUUGUUUGGCGUAAAACAAAUUGAGAUUGAAGCACAAGUGCUCGGUUUGAAAGAAGAGAAAAUAAAGUAUGUAGGAAAGUAGAUGUGGGACGGAGGACAGAUACUACUGACUUUUUAGUUUUGUUUUUUCAUCCGAAAAUAAUUAUUUGUCACUUAAAGUAUAUAAUUAUGUCACUGGAAAGUGUAAAAUACGCAAACCAAUAUCAAAAAGCUAAUAUUAGUAUUUGACCAAAACUAUUUUCGACCUGAGCAUUUAUUUGAAUGCAUGAAUAUCUUAUCCGGUCUAUCUGUUAUGUUUAUUUAAGAACUGUAUAGUAUUUGGUAGAUUAGAAUUUCCAUCAAUUUAAUGGUUUUAAUUAUCUUUUGCAAACAAACUGAAACAACCAAUAGCUAAUAGAGGUAUUAAACUUCACAAAUUUUCGCUUUAACUAACUCAAAUAACUGAAAUAAAAAAAACCAUAUUAGAAUCUAAGAACAGUGUCAAUAAAAAACAAAAAUAAUUGCCAAGUUGAGGGGCCUAUUCGCAAUGGCGUAUAGUUGCAGAGGUCUCAUUUAGAAUUUUACCUCAAACAAAAAAAAAAAAAAAUUAUGUCUCUGAAAACAACAGUUCGAAAAAUAAGGAACUGCACAAAGGAGCGUAGACAGAAAAUUUGAAUCAAAACCAACCUUACAGAGAUUGAAGACUGAACUGAACAUCAGCAACAGUUGUCGGUCUGUUUGAGUUUUGAGUGUGCUUUUCUGUCGUCAAUGCAUUAGGAAAUUAAUUUUUUUUUCUGUUUUGGAAAAUCGUAAAGAAAGAAAAAGCAAGCAGCUGCAAGACGUGGUUGCAAGUUGAUGCCUGCUGCAGUGUAGGCCUCAUUUUCAAUUUACGGUGAAAUGUCGGUAUAAGUGUUAUCGACGGAGUGUCUGUCAAAUUUGCCCCGGAAAGUGGAUACAACCUGCAUUAAAAACUUGGAGUUGUUAUACUGCUAGAGAAACAUAAAAAUUGAUUGAUGUUUUAGCUACCUCAGAGAAGCUCAACAACUUCAUCAUAUAACAGACAAAAACAGAACAAGCUUAUGACUGGGCUAUGCGAUUUGCUAUUUGUGCAGGAAUCAAACACAAAAUUAUCUUUAAUAUAUACGCAUAUAAAUUGAGGGGAAACAAAAUUGAAGCAUUUAAUCUCCUUGCCGCAAAAAAGAGCAAUUUCUUUCUUAAAGAUUUUACAUUAGUUCGGCUGCUACAAACACACACACACACACACACACACACACACAAACAAAAAUGCAUGGAAUAUAUGUUACUCUGAUCCUGCACCAACAAAACUGAAGAACACAAGCAUGCAGUAAGACAUUAGUCUUUUUUUUCCAUAUUCUUAUGAAUAAAUUGAUGGACCAUGACCAUGUAUGGGAGUCAUAUAUGACAAUAAGAGCCUUUUUCACUAUUGCGCCAAAAAAGAAAGAGAAGAGAAAAUAAGUAGUAUGAUUUUAAUCUUGUUUUAUGCCAGAUAAGAAAAAUAGAUUCGAGCACCAAUAGGGGGUCCUAAUCCUUACAUGUUCCUGCACCACCAAAAUAGAACAUAAGCAGCUACUCUUGCUUUAUAUUCUUGAAAAAUUUGAAAGAAAUAUAUAUAUAUAGGAGUGCUAUACCAUUACUACUGCCCUGAACCAAGAAAUUUAACAAACUUAAAAAGCUUUUGUCAUGCUUCUCUUAUGUUCUAACUCAUCAGCGAGACUUCGCAUCUUGUUUGUACUCCUAGAGAGAGAAAUUACUGCACAAUUAGUCAUAUUUAACUUUAGAAAGCAAUUGACAUGCUAGCGCAAUUAACAUAUGUUAUAUUCAUGACAUUGUUUGUUAAGACUAGCACAAUGUAUUAUAUUCAUGACUAGCACAAUAUAUUCAUGACAUUGCGCUUUUUGGGGUUUUUUGGGGCUUUGAUUUUGGUUUUUGGUUUUUUUUGGUUUCUGGGUUCCUGCUCCUAGAUCUUGAUUGCGAUCAACCCAUGCUGUUCUUGCCGUUCUGUUUUUUCGCCUUACUAGACUGCUCCUAUACUCUCUGUUCUGACUUUGUUAAAAUAGGGUAUACCCCUGUUUAAUCAAAAAAAAAAAAGACUAGCACAAUGUAUUAUAGGAGGCAAUUAGUGCUUUAUUCCCUUUUUAUGUAUCCAAAUCAUAAAAUGAGAGUACAAAAUGUAAAAAUUCCAUUGAGGAUGCUAAUUAAAAAGGAACCUGGCUACUCUUGCAUUAUCUGAAAAAAGGUAAGCAAUUAAUCCCGUAAGAAAUGAGAUAACUUUGUUAAGACUGAAUGAGAUGUAUGUAGUUCAUUAAUUAAGACCAAAAUGAAUUGCAUUAUUUACAACAAAGGGUUACGAGAUGAAGGGGGGUAGAGUGUACUUACAAUUAAUAUGCAUCAUCAUCACGAUCUGCAAAUAAUGCUAUGUAAUCCUCACAAAACGGAUGUUGGCAAUCUUGGGCCAAUCAAGGCCUAUAUUCUCUUGGCAUCGCUCCUUCAACACAGGGUGACAGCUGUUGAUGACUAGACAACGCAGUGAAGUAGGUAGAUCUGGAAGUGACUGGAUGAGAUUAGCAUCUUCCACACCCAAAAUGACGAGGGAGCACAGUUUUGUCAUGCUGCGGGGUAGGGACUGAAGGGAGCGUGCUUCUCGUAUGCAUAAUUGUCCGGGGGGCAGCGUGAUUUUGUAGUAGCCAUUCCUCAGGUAAGGAGGCGAGAGCGCGUAAGCAUCAGAGAGAUGUCAAACGAGCAGACGGAGGAGAGACUUCUCAAUGGUCUAUGAGCAGGAGCGCGUGGUGUCAAUUGAUUAUAACCAUUCUUCAAAAACAGUCCAGUACUGUAUUCUUUUUUUGGCCGACAUCGUUGGGAAGGAGGCUGCAGCAGAAGGGCAACUUCAAUUAGCUUGUCACCACCUUUCAAUUAUCUAAAGAACGGAGCGAUACGAGAGCUUGUAUUCCACCAAUGAUGACAAGUUCUUUGCAGUUCUUAUAUUCUAAGCGGGAAAGCAUCGUCCACCGUGACACACUUUGUGCGGGGGAAGGGAUGCUAUACUUGCACAAUCGAGUAAUUCCACCAUAUAAAGAGGUUAAAUGCCGCUGACCACAGCAGUGGACCUCGAGGUCGCCAAAUGACAAUAGUGAGAUGACCGAGUACAGAGGGCAGUUCGAUGUCUGAGAUCCUACUUUUGUCAACUUGCGGCAAUUUUCUAUGUGCAAGGUUUUCAUGGCUUUGAAUUCCCAAAAAGCUCCGAUGGAACAUAUUCGAUCUUCUUACAGUGUCUGAUGACUAAGCUUUCAAGAGGCCUGAAAAUGUUCUUGCUACCGCAAGAAAAGAAAGAAAAGAUAUUUAAGUCUGGGCAAUCACAGCCAUGUAAAUACGAAUUGGUGUUUGGAUACAAGGGUAAAGUUUAAAUUGCCCCCGUGUGAUUUAACUCAUUUUAAACUUGACCUUGCAGUUCAAAAAGUUUUACUUUGCCCUCCUGUAGUUUAAUUUUUAUUUCAUCAAAAAAGUUCUAUAUGAAAUAGUGUGGCCAAUUAAAAAUAUUUAAAAAAUACUUUUUGAACUACAGGAGAGGGGGGUGAAAAUGAUAUUUUUGAACUACAGGAGGGGCAAGUGAAAAUGAGCUAAACCCAGGGGAGAAAUUUAAAGUUUACAAAAUAAAGCACUUACAUUGUUGUUUGCGUAAUUUGAUUUAUUGUUGAAAAGCGAUCAAUCCGACAUUAUAAAUAUGCAAAUCUCUUGACCAUAGAUGCAGAGUAGGAAUUCCCCUCAAAUUAGGGCAAUCAGAAAUAGACAUAGACUGAAGUUGAGGAAACAUGCACCUAUCAUCAAUUCCAAUCCACUCCUCCAAGUUAGGCAUGUCCCAUAACAAUAACAUCUUCAACGAUGGAAAGGCACAUCCACUGUUGCUUCCAAAGAAUGAACAAUCUAUUUGCUUUACUGUAUGCAGUCCCUGCAAGAAAAGGUGCCGGAGCGAAGAAAACUGCCAAAGAGGCGGGAGCUGCUCCCAUCUUUUACAAUCAAUUAGUUCGAUGGAUGUCAAAUUGACAAGAGACAGAUUUGUCAUCCAACAUGGAGAUUUAGCACCGUGGUAUUGUUCAAUGCGCAUUUUCUUGAGAUUGAUAUGUGGACAGAGGUUAUCGAGGAGCUGCUCAUCCGCUUCUGCACUAUUGGAGUGGCCUUCGGACCAUCGCAAUCCCAACGAUUUGAGAUAUUCUUUCUCAUUCAGCUUGGCCUCUGUAGCUUCUUCAGAAGUCCUCACAUUUUCAAGUUUCAU
RNAcentral lists this long non-coding RNA (7178 nucleotides) under Ananas comosus (pineapple). RNAcentral describes it as "long non-coding RNA (ACOM_LNC017357)". Lineage: Eukaryota; Viridiplantae; Streptophyta; Magnoliopsida; Poales; Bromeliaceae. The record is from RNAcentral.